UUGCCUGCAGCCCAACAGCCAGCCUGGCGGCCGGGCGCAAGGUGGAUGCCAGGCUGAGCUCGGGCUCUGACCUCUCUUGGGUGCCCGGAUCUGUAGGGCAGACUUCCCCCAGGAGGGGCGGCGGGCACAGCGCUGGGCCCACCCACACGAGAGCGCUUUGCUUCUUGCAAAACAGCAAGUUGCGCACGUCAACCGUUGGCAUCAGGACAGCAAUCAAAAUCAAGACCUUUUGGAGCCCGUCUUCUUGUACCCAGAGGGAAACUGAGGCCUGGACCCAGGCUUAAUUCCCGUCUGGCUUCUGAGCCAUUGCCAUGAGUCAGAAGCCAAAAGUUUCUUUUCGUUCCUUCUUGUGUCUGACCAUUCUCCCUGCUCCCUGGGCUCAGUGCUGAAUUCAGGUGAUCUCCUCUAGCGUCUUGCUUCUAACAUCCGGCGAGAACGGCAGCCGCAUCAGGUUGGACAGAAGAAUUUUUGAGCCAGAGCAGAUAAUUCGAUUUGCUGUUGUCAACACUGGGGGAUACGAAGAAGGGGCUUUAAGGAUUGGCAGGACUUGGAUCAUACACCCUAAAGAAGAGGAUGGAUGAAAAAGGAGGAGGUUGGCCCGAUGCAAAGGGAAAAUGUGUGCUGGGAGGGGGAGCUAAACUGGCUGGGGAAAAUAAAGGCAUCUCAUGGGGGACCUUGAAUAUCAGGGGAAAAUCUGCAUCCUAUCCCAUAGGCAAAGGAAUAA
Long non-coding RNA from Neofelis nebulosa (Clouded leopard), 724 nucleotides. RefSeq lists it as uncharacterized. The record is from RefSeq and is a predicted model, not a curated record. The transcript has 3 exons. NCBI's taxonomy places the organism in Eukaryota, Metazoa, Chordata, Mammalia, Carnivora, Felidae.